Molecule: RNA transcript, 4979 nt
Organism: Anopheles stephensi (Asian malaria mosquito)
Lineage: Eukaryota; Metazoa; Arthropoda; Insecta; Diptera; Culicidae
Gene: RYBP
Gene name: YY1-associated factor 2
Exons: 4
Source: RefSeq, a predicted model, not a curated record
GAUAAGAAGAAGAUGUAGAAAAAUUCAUGUAUUCUUGAAAGUGUUUGCGAAAAUCAGACAACAUAUAUUUUUAUCGGUGGCUUCGCCUUACGUUGCAUAUCAAGCGGUCUACUCAAUUGCAAUCCUCUAUCCAUUCUGUACCACUGUACCAUGUUCGACACUAGUGAUUAUGUGCGACUUUCGAGAAAGAAAUAAUAUAACGUUUGCUACGCCGAACAGCAGUGAUGAAUAGACAUUGCACUGCCUUUCCAAUUAUCUGCUGGUGGAUACAAGCGCUUUAGCAUCGAUACCGUACUAAGCGGCCUGCAAUACUUACAUCCGUGGUGAUGUAAAACGGUGGUGUGGAAAAAGCAAUGGAUAAAAGCAAAUCACCUGUACGCCGUGCGAAACGUCAAUCUAAAGUGGUGGAAGAGAAUUUUUGGGACUGCAGCGUCUGUACUUAUCGCAAUACUGCUGAAGCUUUCAAGUGUUUAAUGUGCGACGUGAGAAAAGUUUACUCCGUUCCAGGGACUUCCACGCGAAAGCCGCGAUUGAACUCUGCACUUGCGGCGCAACAAGCGGCAACGCAAGCCUUUCCUGGAGCGUCCGGCGGGUCGCAGGCCGGAUCGAACGUGAAAUCGCCGGGCGGCACAAAAGCACUGCGGAGCAAAGGCAAACGAUCGAAGCAUCCUGCACGGUUAAAAAACAUUGACCGUUCCAGCGGACAAACGCGUGAAGUGACAGUCAAUUCGGUUACGGUGGUCAUUACCGAAUAUAAACCAAAGCCCUCCGUUAGCCGGCAUGACUCAAGUGAAAGUUUUAGUGAGAGUAAUGAUUCUAGAAGUUAGACUUCCUUCUGUUAUACCUCGGGCUGCUUUCUUAGGUAAUCAUUGCAGAUAAGAUGUUAAUCUCUGCACGUAAUGUAAACAUUUAAGUUAGCAACAUUUCGGUAUGUUCUGAAUCUUUAGAACUGAAUUGCCAAUGGUUAACAUUAUAUCCAUAAACAUUUACUCAUGACUUUUUUUUAAUUAUUUGUUUCAGACAUUUUUUUUAAACGUACAGAUUCUGUUUCGUUUUAAACACCUUCAAGUUCUUAUUAAGUAUUGGUCAGUUAGUAAUGCUCCUUUCCCGAUAAGCGUAAAACCCACAACACAAAAUGUCGCAAAACAAGAGCAUUGACAGGAACACAAAACUGGCAUUCUUGAAUUAUAUUUAAGAUAAAUAGUAAGAUACUACAGCAAAUCAUGAUUUGUUUUACUUGCUGUUACAAAAUUCAAACCUAAGAUCUUCAUUAACACUUCCUCUGUAAACGAUGUCUUACAGAAACAUGUUUGAUCCAGGCAACGAAUAAUGGCGACGUUUAACAAAUGUGCAUCUUAUAAUAACGAAUAAGAUGCUCUUUAUAUGAAAAUCAAGCAAAUAUUAUUUAAACUUGUAAUGUAAUGUGGUAAUUACCGAAGGUGGUGCAUGAUUUUUUUUACACAGAAUUUAAAGCAAAUACACAAUGCGUAUGUUUGCUUGUAACGAAAAAAUAGUAUUGUAACAUAUUACAUACACAUCCACAAAACUGCCAGUUUCCGACUACGUAAAUAUUGCCGGCAAAAUAAAACAACAAUCUCUAGGAAGAAUGAUAUUGUAAAUGAAUGAACUUAAUAAUACGAUAAUCCAAUGACUAUAGCGUUGUUUGUGAUGGUAGCGAGAGCAGCAUAUGAAAAACUUUGUCGGAAAGAUAAAGAAGCAACUUAAUUACAGCAGCACAGAUCUGGAAAGAUUUAGCACAACAAGAUAUGCUGUGUUUAUCACAUAAGAAUCUGGUUUUAGCUAGAAAUAAACAUCAGCCUUGGUGGCUCGCUGAAGCAUGGAGUAUAUGUAGGGAAGCUAUUAAGUUGCUGUAAAUCAUUUCCUGAUUUAAAAUUUUCGGUUAAAAAAUAAAAUUUAAACUUCAACCCAAUAUGUUUUGAAUUCAUGCUUGUAUUGUAUGUUCAACUGAUUUUCUUUACAAAAAAGCUCCCGUAACUCAAAAUUGUAGUCAGUUACUAGACUGGCUGACAAUAUACAGUAGAGAAAAUAAAGAAAUAGUUAAAACUCACCUUUUCCAUUUUAUCUUUUUUAUGUAGAAACACCACAAGGAUACAUUUUUAUCGAAUAUUUAAGCUUCAUAAGUAUAAGCAAGCUCAUCGUUGACAGAGUAUUGAUUGAACGUUCAAUACUCUCAUUUCACAUUUCACUGAGAUUCAACGGGUGGUCUGCCAACCGUAAAGGUUGAUUUAUUUUUAAGUGACUAAUGGAAUUGGAUGGAAUAUAUUUGUGCGAGAAACAGAAUUUCCCGAAUGUUCGUUAUCCGAAUGCUUCCAGUUUAAAGAAAACAUUAAAUUCGGCAUGCAUACUAAACGCAACCGCACGUCAUAAUUGCACCGUAACGUCCGAAUUCAAAAUUUGCAGCCGCAGCACAGCUUGAACCAAACACUAUAAACCUUGGUAUAACCAUAGAAACUAUAGUUUUUCGGAUUAUCCGGGGUGUUCAUACAGCCGGUAUUUUCCCUUUUCGCAUGUGCGUGGGUGAAGAAAGCAUCGCCGUCGCUACAUAUUCUGUAUUAGCGUCAAAUGCGUGUACGAUAUGUAAAAUGUUUACAGUCAUUAUCAAAUCUCGGGGAGCUUCUGUAAAUAAUAAUUCCAGAAAUCUUUUUAUUUUUAUUUUUGCUACCAGUAUGAAGCACGGAAUCUAAAUGUAAUCAGUAUGAAAUUCCUAUACACUGUUUAGCUCUCAGAACUAAACCAACGUCUCUCAGAAUGUAGGUACAAGCAAUGAGAACAGUACAUUUCACAAAGAAUCUGGAACAUAACGCUCACAAUAACAUAAUAGUUAAUGUGUCUUUGUCUUUCUAAAAUACAAAAAGACUUGUUAAAAGACUUAACAAAAUGAUUAUUAGUGAAGAAUGUAAAAGAGAAAUGGAAACCGAAAACAAGAGUAAACGAUAGAAAUGGAAAGGGCACGUCGAUUACGUAGGUGAACCCGGGAAAGUCGCCUUUGCCAAUCGCCCUGCAACGAUCGAGAGACGAAGACGGCCGAACGAACGAUCGCUUGGGUAGAAAACUACUGCAAAUAGCGUUCGUUUGGCGACCGCUUAACGCGUCGAGAACAAGGCUCUAAUGUCUGACGAGAAAUCCCUUUGGUUCCCCGGCGAGGAGCCAGUUGCGAUUGUCUGCUGAAACCUAAGCGAAACGUACAGAUUUGUUUAGAGCUACGGAUAUCAAAGGAAAUGCAUGCCAAGGCACAAGACAGACGAAGCAAGUGCACGAUCGCCGACGACCAAUUUUCGUUGGUCCGUUGGGCUAGUGUGGGGCUAGCUCGUUGUGUAGGGGCGCGAGCUUAACAGUGCCGUGUCCUUAAAGCCUGGCCUGGCACAACGCGAGCUCCGCAAUGCAGCAACAGCGCCGCCUGGACGACCCCGUCCCUCUGGGCAGGCUUGUUGGGCUGUGGAGGGCUUCGGAUUUGAAUACAACAAACCACCACACACUAGCGCCCGAAUGUGUCUGGACACGUACACAGAACGUGCACAGGGCCCGGUACGCACACACGCAGAAAUUUUAGCUGCCAAAGAGCUGAAGCAGGAAAGACGACAGCAGCAGCAGCAGCAGCAGCAACAGCAACAGCAACGGUGCAGAAGAGAAGAGGGCGGGCGCGCCGCGGCACCCUGCCCGGCUCCUCCUUACUUCUAUGCCGGAAACCCCCACGGACGAAAACCCGGUACUUUCUGGGCCGAACACAGCGCAGAAUCUACAUUAAAGUUCUGGAUGAGAAGAGAGCUCGAAACGCGUCGGCCUGUGCCUGUGUGAGCCUGAACCUGAAGCCCAUCAUCCCGUCGGAGGGAGCGGAACGCUCCAUGCACGCGGGAGGCUGCGUGCGUGCGACUGCGACGACGAAUGGCUCCUGUGUCCCGACGGCCGAACAACGUGAAACGUGAAGCCGGCGGAGCGCACAUAGCCCCAACACACAGGGAGCUUCCAUCUCCCUCACUCGCACGCUUCCACUCCCAGGGUUUCACGUGCAUGCGAACACGCGUAUGUAUGCUUGCGCUAGAUGGCACGGAGGAAAUGGGACGGCGAAUGCACUGGGCCAGAACGACGAAACAGCACCGCCAAAGCUCCCUGGAUCCUUGAACGGCUGGGCCAGAGAGCGAGAGUGCAGUUUCGGCAAAUGCUGGCUUUUCCAGCAGGCUGCUACAAUCUGGCUUUAAAGUGAACGCUGCUUUGGUCACUUUUUCUUACGUCGAUUGAGCAUCAAAAUUCAAACUUCAAAACAUUGCUCGACUUCACUGGAUUCAACUGGAAUAUUAUUAUCUACAUUUUCUAAAGCACCAUUAUGUUUGAAAUUCAUGGUAAAAGUAUUAGAAUGUGUUGAAUGAAUUGUAUUUUAAUUUUAUCAGCUGACUCGAAAUCAAAUAGAUUUGUAUUCAUCAAAUGGCAUAAGAUCUUUAGAAGCUUAAACAUUGAGCUUUAAAGAUUACCAAUAUAAAUUCGUCAUUUGGAUGUCCACAGUAAACACUGCGCAUUGUUAACCGUGUGCCGUCAGAAUUACAGUAUCAAGAACAAUCGCCAGAGAUCCCACUGAUCUCCGGGACGUCUGCUCUUCGCGUGUCUGAAUAAUCGUUUGCGGCACCAAAGGUUAGUCGGAACUAAAUAUUCAGUCAGUCCAAAGUGGUCAAGUGAAUCUGGCGAAUGAAACCUACGCCGUGCAACAAAUAGAUGAUGGAUUCAUUAUCAAUACUAGGUCCACAAAUCCGUAGAUCCGCAGAGGACAUUUUGAGGUGUUAAAAACGCUAUAAAUCGAGCUGGGACAUGUCAUUACAAUAUCGUGUUAACACAUUUGUGAAUUGGUUGUUGGCAAUAAUACUUUUUAGUUAUUUUUUAUGCUGUUAAGAAGCCCUGAAUCGUUCCAAGAAGAUAGCCCGUCCUGCCCAGCAAUAUCCUUAUCGGUAAAUUCGAAGGACGUAUCCUUU